CCUUGACAGCAGCUCCGACGGCACCUCUGUGGCUCUGCAGGAGCCGCCUCCCCGCCUCGUGGGCACACAGGCAUCCGCGCCGCUCAAGGACUCCAAAGUCAGCGUCGCGGCGGUGGGGCUCCGCGGGCAGCCUGGUUGCGCUGCACCCGGACGGGGCCGAGGGGACCUGAAAGCUGCGGCAGAGCCUGACCGCGCCGUUCUCCAGAAGAGCCCCGGCCGCGGCUGAGUCGCGCUCCGGGUGUGGACGGAGCCGGAGCCUCCCCGGGGCUCGGUGAGGACACAGGGCCCAAGCCCCGGACCUUCAAGUCUUGACCGAGCGCAUCCCCGGCCCUUCUGCGCCCACACCUGAGUUUUUGUCUGUAGGAGUUUCCGCAGUUUGCUAAGAAUCGACAUCUAGAGGAGUACUCACCACUUAAUUGAUGAUCAAUACACGUUCCUUGAAAGAACCGAUAGCAUGCGAUCGAUACAGAGCAUCUGCACUGGGAUUGUCCGCCCCGCCUGUCAGGGAGGCCUCGGGGGCUAAUGGAGCUGAGGGUAUAGUCGGCCUUGGACCCUCGCUUUUUUCCUUUCCUGUACUAUGAAGAUAACUGCCUUAUCUCCCCCUCAGGACUGUUUUGGGGAUUAAAUAGGACGUUUAAAUUACCAACGCUCUUUGAAAUAAACAUUUCAAAAUUAUUAUAACCCUUUAGUACAUGUGGGAAAACGUUGACAUUCAUGUUCAAGUUUAUUUUUCUGCUGGCUCAUUUAGGUUUGUUGAAGCCUUGAGUCCCUAGGAUUGUCUAAGAACAUGGGUAAAUGUGUGUGGAGGCCUCCCUGGAGGCCAGAGAACUGCCAGCAGCCUUCAUGAUGUUAGGGGAACAGGAACCUAGGAGAGCCAGGGUGACAUCGUUUUAAAAUCAACAACCCAUCUUGGCGGGCGCGGUGGCUCAAGCCUGUAAUCCCAGCAGUUUGGGAGAAAAAAAUUAGCCGGGUGUGGUGGUGGGCACCUGUAAUCUCAGCUACUCAGGAGGCUGAAGCAGAAUUGCUUGAACCCAGGAGGCAGAGGUUGCAGUGAGCUGAGAUCACGCCAUGGCACUCUAGCCUGGGCAACAAGAAUGAAACUCUGUCUCAAAAAAAUAAAAAUAAAAUAAAAUAAACUCCAUCUUAAAACCAGUGAAACCACCAUUGCAAAAUUAUAACUGAGACAGUGAGAGAUCUGACCUAACCAACUCCAUCCUACUUUUAACCUCCAAACUGUCCUUGUUCAUUCCUGGGUGUAGGCCAAACUAACUUUGGAAGAAACUUAGUUUAUGGUUUCCCGAAACAAAUCCUUUUCUUGUCUGGGUCUCUACAAUAAUAACUUAACUCUUUCAAUUAAUUGCCCAUCAGAAAAUCGUUGAAUCCAUCUGUGACCUGGACACCUUCCACCUGCAUCCAUGGAGUUGUGUCACCUUUCUGGACCAAACCACUGGACACCUUACAUGUAUCGAUUGGCAACAUGUACACCUCCACACACUGCUAAAUGACAAAGCCGAAUUUUGAAAUACGAUACUGUGAGGUGUUUGGAGAAGAGAACUGAAAUGACGUCAUGGAGGUGGCAGGGGAUCGUCUUGCCCUUUUCUUAUUUUCUGCCUGUAACUUCUGUCCCCCUAAAAUGCAUAAAAUCCAGCUAGAACCCAACCACCUUAUGCAGCAGUUCUUAGGACCUCAUGGGGCUG
RNAcentral lists this long non-coding RNA (1697 nucleotides) under Homo sapiens (human). RNAcentral's name for it is "HSALNT0132036". Lineage: Eukaryota; Metazoa; Chordata; Mammalia; Primates; Hominidae. The record is from RNAcentral.